Molecule: ribosomal RNA, 785 nt
Filed under: Cyclobacterium sp. SRO_281
Lineage: Bacteria; Pseudomonadati; Bacteroidota; Cytophagia; Cytophagales; Cyclobacteriaceae
Description: bacterial SSU rRNA
Rfam family: Bacterial small subunit ribosomal RNA
Source: RNAcentral
UGCAACCUACCUGUUACAGGGAGAUAGCCCGGGGAAACCCGGAUUAAUAUCCCAUAGGAUAUAUUAACUGCAUGGUUUAUAUAUUAAAGCCUUCGGGUGGUAACAGACGGGCAUGCGUAGGAUUAGCUAGUUGGAGAGGUAACGGCUCACCAAGGCGACGAUCCUUAGGGGUUCUGAGAGGAAGGUCCCCCACACUGGCACUGAGAUACGGGCCAGACUCCUACGGGAGGCAGCAGUAGGGAAUAUUGGUCAAUGGGCGAGAGCCUGAACCAGCCAUGCCGCGUGCAGGAAGACGGCGUUCUGCGUUGUAAACUGCUUUUAUCUGGGAAGAAAAAGCCCUUGCGAGGGAAAUUGCCGGUACCAGAAGAAUAAGCACCGGCUAACUCCGUGCCAGCAGCCGCGGUAAUACGGAGGGUGCAAGCGUUGUCCGGAUUUAUUGGGUUUAAAGGGUGCGUAGGCGGCUGAUUAAGUCAGCGGUGAAAGUUCUCGGCUCAACCGAGAGACUGCCGUUGAUACUGGUCAGCUUGAGUUAUGGAGGGGUACAUGGAAUUUAUGGUGUAGCGGUGAAAUGCAUAGAUACCAUAAGGAACACCGAUAGCGAAGGCAUUGUACUGGCCAUAAACUGACGCUGAGGCACGAAAGCGUGGGUAGCGAACAGGAUUAGAUACCCUGGUAGUCCACGCCGUAAACGAUGAUCACUCGCUUUACAUUACGUAGUAAUUUGAGGCCAAGCGAAAGCGUUAAGUGAUCCACCUGGGGAGUACGCCGGCACGGUGAAACUCAAG